RNAcentral lists this ribosomal RNA (252 nucleotides) under uncultured bacterium. RNAcentral describes it as "partial 16S ribosomal RNA". It matches the Rfam family "Bacterial small subunit ribosomal RNA", at positions 524 to 776 of the family's 1533-position model. The record is from RNAcentral.
UACGUAGGGUGCGAGCGUUAAUCGGAAUUACUGGGCGUAAAGCGUGCGCAGGCGGUUCGUUGUGUCGGCGGUGAAAGCCCGGGCUUAACCUGGGAAUGGCCGUCGAAACUGGCGAACUGGAGUGUGGCAGAGGGGGGUGGAAUUCCGCGUGUAGCAGUGAAAUGCGUAGAGAUGCGGAGGAACACCGAUGGCGAAGGCAGCCCCCUGGGCUGACACUGACGCUCAGGCACGAAAGCGUGGGGAGCAAACAGG